RNAcentral lists this ribosomal RNA (433 nucleotides) under uncultured bacterium. Its description in RNAcentral is "partial 16S ribosomal RNA". It matches the Rfam family "Bacterial small subunit ribosomal RNA", at positions 29 to 507 of the family's 1533-position model. The record is from RNAcentral.
AGCGAACGCUGGCGGCAGGCCUAACACAUGCAAGUCGAACGAACUCUUCGGAGUUAGUGGCGGACGGGUGAGUAACACGUGGGAACGUGCCUUUUGGUUCGGCAUAACUCAGGGAAACUUGUGCUAAUACCGAAUGUGCCCUUCGGGGGAAAGAUUUAUCGCCAUUAGAGCGGCCCGCGUCUGAUUAGCUAGUUGGUGAGGUAACGGCUCACCAAGGCGACGAUCAGUAGCUGGUCUGAGAGGAUGACCAGCCACACUGGGACUGAGACACGGCCCAGACUCCUACGGGAGGCAGCAGUGGGGAAUCUUGCGCAAUGGGCGAAAGCCUGACGCAGCCAUGCCGCGUGAAUGAUGAAGGUCUUAGGAUUGUAAAAUUCUUUCACCGGGGACGAUAAUGACGGUACCCGGAGAAGAAGCCCCGGCUAACUUCGUG